AGGCAGAGAGCAGGAGGCAGAGGAAAGUUUCUGGGAUGUCAAACCAGUUCCCAUAAGCACUUUAGAGAAGCACCUGGCGCGGGACUAGGCUGCCAUGAUCCUCCCUUUGGACUCCAUGGUCAGGGUCAUUGCAGAGAUCCUCCAUUUGGACCCCGCCUACCUGAAGGGCCUAUACCUUGGUCAGGCAUCUUAGAAGGACUGCCGUGAGCCAUGUCAUAAAAAGGAGAAAACAUCACAGUGGACAGCCCCAAUUCCUGCAUAUACAGAUGGGAAACUUAGGUGCACUGCUUCUCUGAUUGACUCCAAAUACUACAGCACCACACCCUUCUAGACUGGUGGAUGUGCAGCUCCACUUCUUUGCAGGGAGGACACACAAUAGCAGAAUAUCCGUGGCCCAACUUUCUGGAGCAUCAGUAUUACUACAAGAUUUGGAAGAAGCAAAGUUAGGUCAUUUCCAAGGUAAGGAAUUAAAAACUUAAAACUAAGAUGAGGUGGGAAAGUCAUAUACC
Molecule: long non-coding RNA, 509 nt
Organism: Diceros bicornis minor
Lineage: Eukaryota; Metazoa; Chordata; Mammalia; Perissodactyla; Rhinocerotidae
Exons: 3
Source: RefSeq, a predicted model, not a curated record